CCAGACAAAAUUCCAUCUUCGUGAGACCCAUAGUUCUCCCCUGAAUUUCUGGCAUUUGAUUGUACUUGAAACAGGUUGUAAUCUCAAUUGGGGUCCAAAUUUUUUUUCUUCUGACAGAGUUGAUGGACGAUGGGCUCAAGAAUGCAAAGCGACUGGGAGGAAAAUUGGCCACCCGUGAAAGACAACUGCUGAGGGGAAAAACGUGUUUUGUUGAUCUCUUGCUCAGAAAAGAAAUCCAUAUGAUGUUCAAGAAAUGGACUAUGGAGAGGACAGUCUACCUCUUAUUGAAGUAUUUCCUAAAAUUCCAGU
This is a long non-coding RNA of Coffea arabica (coffee), 309 nucleotides long. RefSeq lists it as uncharacterized. Lineage: Eukaryota; Viridiplantae; Streptophyta; Magnoliopsida; Gentianales; Rubiaceae. The record is from RefSeq and is a predicted model, not a curated record.